This 99-nucleotide ribosomal RNA is filed under the name Paramormyrops kingsleyae. Lineage: Eukaryota; Metazoa; Chordata; Actinopteri; Osteoglossiformes; Mormyridae. The record is from RNAcentral.
AUCAGCAGCCAUACAACCUGCCAUCUGAAGCUAAGCAGAUUUGGGCCUGGCCAGUACUUAGAUGGGAGACCAACUAGGAAAGACGGGUUGCUGCUAGAA